UGGGGAAUAUUGCACAAUGGGCGCAAGCCUGAUGCAGCCAUGCCGCGUGUAUGAAGAAGGCCUUCGGGUUGUAAAGUACUUUCAGCGGGGAGGAAGGGAGUAAAGUUAAUACCUUUGCUCAUUGACGUUACCCGCAGAAGAAGCACCGGCUAACUCCGUGCCAGCAGCCGCGGUAAUACGGAGGGUGCAAGCGUUAAUCGGAAUUACUGGGCGUAAAGCGCACGCAGGCGGUUUGUUAAGUCAGAUGUGAAAUCCCCGGGCUCAACCUGGGAACUGCAUCUGAUACUGGCAGGCUAGAGUCUUGUAGAGGGGGGUAGAAUUCCAGGUGUAGCGGUGAAAUGCGUAGAGAUCUGGAGGAAUACCGGUGGCGAAGGCGGCCCCCUGGACGAAGACUGACGCUCAGGUGCGGAAGCGUGGGGAGCAAACAGG
Molecule: ribosomal RNA, 429 nt
Filed under: Chloroflexota bacterium
Lineage: Bacteria; Bacillati; Chloroflexota
Description: Chloroflexi bacterium partial 16S ribosomal RNA
Rfam family: Bacterial small subunit ribosomal RNA
Source: RNAcentral